This 253-nucleotide ribosomal RNA is filed under the name uncultured bacterium. Its description in RNAcentral is "partial 16S ribosomal RNA". It matches the Rfam family "Bacterial small subunit ribosomal RNA", at positions 524 to 776 of the family's 1533-position model. The record is from RNAcentral.
GACGUAGGAGGCGAGCGUUGUCCGGAAUCACUGGGCGUAAAGGGCGCGCGGGCGGCCGCGCCGGCCAUCCGUGAAAGCCCCCGGCUCAACCGGGCGGGAGCGGGUGGGACCGCGCGGCUGGAGGGCGGCAGAGGCCGGUGGAAUUCCCGGAGGAGCAGUGAAAUGCGUAGAGACCGGGAGGAACACCCGCGGCGAAGGCGGCCGGCUGGGCCGACCCUGACGCUGAGGCGCGAAGGCCGGGGGAGCGAACGGG